AUUGAACGCUGGCGGCAGGCUUAACACAUGCAAGUCGAGCGAGCGGCGGACGGGUGAGUAAUGUCUGGGAAACUGCCUGCUGGAGGGGGAUAACUACUGGAAAUGGUAGCUAAUACCGCAUACCAUCAGAUGUGCCCAGAUGGGAUUAGCGAGUAGGUGGGGUAAUGGCUCACCUAGGCGACGACCCCUAGCUGGUCUGAGAGGAUGACCAGCCCCACUGGAACUGAGACACGGUCCAGGCUCCUACGGGAGGCGGCAGUGGGGAUUAUUGCACAAUGGGCACAAGCCUGAUGCAGCCAUGCCGCGUGUGUGAAGAUGGCCUUCGGGUUGUAAAGCACUUUCAGCGAGGAGGCGUUACUCGCAGAGGAGGCACCGGCUAACUCCGUGCCAGCAGCCGCGGUAGUAC
Molecule: ribosomal RNA, 406 nt
Filed under: uncultured bacterium
Lineage: Bacteria
Description: partial 16S ribosomal RNA
Rfam family: Bacterial small subunit ribosomal RNA
Source: RNAcentral